UUUGUGUUCCCUCAAAUGGCGGUGUGAAGAGAGUUCGCCUGAGCCAGAUCCCAGGUUUCACUGAAGAAACGUCUUAGAGAUUCAUUGCACUUCUGAGAUUUAAUGUUUACAACUUGGAGUUGUCAACCUUCUUAUAAGAUACAUUUUGGAAGUCAAAAUGAAAGUUUUCUGUGAAGUUUUAGAAGAGUUAUACAAGAAGGUACUUCUUGGAGCCACACUUGAAAAUGACAGCCAUGAUUACAUCUUUUAUCUCAACCCAGCAGUUUCAGAUCAAGAUUGCUCUACAGCCACCUCCUUAGAAUGGGCAAACACCUGUCGUAUCCAGGGCAGGCAUCAGCCCAUCUCUGUUGGUGUGGCUCCCAUUGCUGUAGCACCUGUGUGUUUGAAGACCAACUCUCAGAUGAGCGGUUCCAGAGAAGUAAUGCUCCUUCAGUUAACAGUGAUCAAAGUGAUGACAACCCGGAUAUUGUCUGUCAAAACCGAGUUCCAUGCAAAGGAGCAAUACAGAGAUGUAAUUAAAAUUCUCUUAGAAUCAGCCAAAGUCGAUUCUAAAUUAAUCUGCAUGUUCCAAAAUUCAGAUAAAUUGUUAUCUCACAUGGCUGCACAGUGCCUUGCAUUGCUUCUAUAUUUCCAAUUGAGAGAAAAGAUAACCUUAAGUAAUUCCUGGAUUGCUUUUUGCCAGAAAAAUCUUUCUGAAUGCUCUGAGAGUAAUAAAGCAAUAUACUGCCUCUGGACUCUUACAGCAAUAAUAAAAGAAAUCUUUAAAGAUUCAUGUUCACAGAAAACAGAAAUUCUAAAGCAGUUCCUGACUCAUUUCGACACCAUUUUUGAAGUGUUUUACAAUUCCUUAUUCUCUCAGCAUUUUGAAAACUGCCGGGAUACUUCUAAAAUAGUAAACAUCCUGAUGUGUUUCCUGGAGUUGCUUGAGCUUCUCAUCGCCUCCAGAAUCCACCUGAAGUUACAUUUCACUUGCCAGAGGAUUUUAUUUUUGAAACCAUCUUGCAUGCUAGAAGUUAUUACCUGGCCUAUUCAGGCUUUUGUUAAAAGGAAGGUCAUCAUAUUCCUCAAAAAGUGCCUUCUCUGUAAAGUGGGUGAAGACCUCUGUCGUGGAUCUGUGCCUGCCUUAAUGCCGCCAGACCAUCAUGUAGCGGUGGACAUGCUGGCUUUAGCUAAUGCUGUUUUGCAAGCUGUGAAUUCGGGGUUGUUGAAGACACUGUCUGUUUAUGAAAAACAUUCCUUUUUUGGAGGCGAUGAAGUUCAACCUGGAUGUGAACAUAUCACUAGUCCAGAUCAUGUGAUCCUUAGAGCAGCAAGCUUAGUUAUAAUGAAAUCCUUAGAAAUCAAGUUUCAGAAUUGUUCUUCAGCAAGUGAAAUGAAAGGUGCGUGACCAUGGCCCACUGCAGCCCUGACCCCCCUUCGGCCCAUGCUAUUCCUCCUGUCCCAACCUGGGAGGUCCCAGCCUGGGAGAUCAAGGCUACAGUGAGCCAUGACCCAUCGCACACCUGCACUCCAGUCCUGGUGCAACAGAUGGAGAUCCUUUCAGGGAGAGAGAGAGAGAGAGAGGAGAAGAGAGAUUAAAGAAGAAUAUGUUCACUCCCACUUAUGUGUUUAUUGUUAUUGUUUGUUAUUAUUUCCUUGUUAUUGUUGUGUUUACUGUUUGUUUAUUUUGAGGCAGGGUCUUGCUCUGUCUCCCAGUCUCACUGCAGCCUCAACGUUUUGAGCUCAAGUGAUCCUCUCGCCUCUGUUUCCCCACCCCAUUUAUAUUAAUCCUUCAUACAAUUAGUGUUUCUACUAAUGUAGAUUAUCGAAAAUUAGAUAUUGAAUUAAAGCUAAUAUAUGAGAAGUUAUAUUGACAAAGAAAUUGUUACAUAUAUAAUUUCCAGAAUAGUAACUCAGGAGUUCAAAGUCUUCCAUUUUGCUUGAGAAAAAUGAAUAGUAAAUGUCUCUAAACAGGCAGCAUACAGAUUCAGUGAAAAGUUUGAAUUGUGAGCAAUGACAUCACUGAAUUGCUUUGGAUAUAAUUUAGCUUUUAAUAACUACACAUUAGUUAUAAUUCUGUGCAGUUUUAAUUUAUAACACUAGAUGGCACCUGUUAUAUAAUUCAGCUUUAAAUUGUAGUUCAAACCACCUAAAACGUUUUUAUUUUUGUGCUUAAUAGUAGUACUACUAUGCUUUAAACAAACAAAAAAUAUGUUUCUCUGUUAUUUUGAAGACAAAAUUAUUUUUGCUUGGUUGCAUUCUUGCCUCUAGUGACAGACAGCUCUGGCAUCCGAUGAAGUGAUCUUAGUUGUCUGCUCAUUUAUUUAUCUGCUUUUAGCAAGAAAUUACAUAACUUUUAUUUCUAAGAGAUAGUUGUUGGGCAGUUGUUGCAAAUAGAUGAUGUAGCUGUACAUUUUAAAUGUAUGCUCUGGAAUGAGUCACUUUUUUUCCCUGAGCCUCAGUGUCCUCAUUUGCCAAAUAAAGAUGCUUCCUAACUG
Molecule: small RNA, 2477 nt
Filed under: Pan troglodytes (chimpanzee)
Lineage: Eukaryota; Metazoa; Chordata; Mammalia; Primates; Hominidae
Description: processed transcript
Source: RNAcentral